AGUUCACAUAAAAUAUAUCUCCUAGUGUCCAGUUUGGUUUUAUCUGAUGAAGCAAAGCAGAGAAAAUAGAGUAUCCUACAGUCCAUAUGCUUCAGUCUAUUGUGUCUUGAUCUAAGAAGAGAUGCAGAACAGAUGCUAAGAAGACUUAGACACAAUGAGCCCCAGAAACAACCUUAUCUUUCACCACCAUCUGCCUGGUUUAUUCUACUCCUCAAGUUCACCAAAAGCGUGCUACCCUCAAGUUUUUCUACCUACUGUUUCUUCUGCUUGGAAUAUUCUUCCUCUAGCUGUUCAGAUUGGACAGCAACCUCUUUUCAUCUGCAGGAAUGCUGAUGUUCCAUGUAGAGAGGAAUUAUGACUAUGCCUCUCGUGCAAGUCUGAGCCUGGAGGACACUCAUCCUGUGGUAUGCUGUCGCCCCAGAGUGAUCCAGAAAAGCUGUCUGCAGACGUGCUCCUGCCAAACUCCUGUGGAAGAAACCCCAGCUAUGUUUUCAGUGGUGGGUCUGGGGAGAAGAAGUAUCCUUUGGCAAAAUCCUUCAAAAGUACCAGAGAGCCCUGGCUGUUGGGGUACACUUGCAGACUUUCCCCACUGAGCCACUUUACCUGUGCCUCUGCUGAAAGAAACUUCUCACAAGUGGAAAGUUGAGGGGCUGAAGGCCUGCAGUCUGAUUUCUUUUGUUCUACAGGAUACUCCCUUAAUGUGAUCGAAACUGCUUUUGCAAAGAUUAUAACCGAGGAAAUUACGACAGUGAAAGAGAUCAGACCUAACUGACUCCAUCUUGCUUCUAAUCUUGUUCAAUAUCUUUGUUAAUUCCUGGGCAUAGGUCGAAAAACCUUGUGAAGGAAUUCAGUUUAUGGUUUGACUCUGAAACAAAACUGCUAACAGCCCUUUCUCGAAAAGACCUCCUUCUCACCCGGGAACUAGUCUGCCUUUGUAGGACUAACAAAUUAGCUACAAGGUUAGAAAUUACUGUUUAGGGGUCAUGCAGCCUCUGGCUCCAAGAGUCUGAACCUCCCCAAAUUGCUCCUAGGAAUAACGCCACUACUGUAAAACCUAAGAUCAGGUUUUAUUUUAAAAUAUCAGGUGAUAUUUUGCAGACCCUGCAUUGGGUGGAUCAACUGACACCACCCAGACCUGUAAUCUGGCCCAACCAGUUCUGCGAUCCUACUCAGGAACAGAAGAUAGCAAGAAAACCUCAUCUUGACCCCCUGUGAUUUCAUUUCCAACCUGACCAAUCAGCACUCCCCACUUGCCCAGCUCCUACCCACCAAAUUGUCUUUAAAAACUCCCUAUCCUGGAAUGCUCAGAGGGACUGAUUUGAGUAAUAAUAAAACUCUGGUCUCCCACACAGAAUUACUGCAUGAAUUACUCUUUCUCCAUUGCAAUUCCCCUGUCUUGGUAAAUCGGCUCUGUCUAGGCAGCGGGCAAGGUGAACCCAUUGUGCGGUUACAUGGUGCCCUCCCAUAUGCCCUAGAAGUAGCCAUUCCUGAGGGUCAGACUACUAUGAAUCCUGAUGCUCCUCUAUGUCUAACUGCCCAGCGGGGCGACCACAUUCCAGGCUGGUGCUGGGGAAUGUCUGCUAAGUAUCCAAUGAUGUGGCCUGUUCUCUAGUCUCCCUGCAGUGGGUAACAGCACCAGCUCUGAUGGGGGUGGGAGGGGGCUUACAUAGACUCUGAGAUUCCCUUAGUUAUAUAUAGCCUUAUUGUGUUGGUUUUCUCAAAGGCCAAAUUUAGUAUUCAUGUACUGGGUGUGUGAACAGACUCAAGACCUCCUGGUCAGCCAGGGUGAUGCAAGAAAUGGUGGUAACCGAGGUCAUGCAAAAGUUUUCUCUUUCCUGAAUGCUGUUAUUCUGUCUGCAGAUGCUGUAAUGGACUGUGUUGGUUGGCCUCCAGCCAGGGGGUGGUGCUUGCAAAAUAGUACCAGCGGCAGUGGUAGCAGUGGGGUUUGUGCUUGCCUUAUGUUUCCCAGAGAAUGUACUCUGGUGUCUCAGGCAAGGGGCGGGAACAUGGAGCUCUAAAACAUCCCUGUCUAUUGUGUUGCACAACCAGAGCAGAUGAAGGGGUAAAGCCAGAGCAGGUGGAGGCUGGGUCAGGCAAGUCUGUGCUCGGGCUCCCCAUGUGCAAGCUCAGGAAGUGGCUCCAAUGUGGAUCAGAGGGCAGUUGCCUUGCCACUGGGGUAAUGUUCUAGGGAGGAGUGCAGCUUCUUCUGCUGCGUAAAAUAAUCUGCACAGGGAGCGGUGGGUAGCCGGCAGCAGUAAGCUCCACUCAGCUCCCAUGCACUUGGCAAGGCACAUCUCAUACUCAUAGUGUUCUACUAGCAACAGCUAGCUGAGUUCCAGGCAGCCUCUACCCAGAACUCGAAACUGGUGGAGAACACAGCUUUCAGGCCAUGCCCCUCCCAGUCAACCUAUGAAGCAGGUGGCUGUAAGCACACUUUCCGCUUGCCACUCCAUUCUGGCUGAUGGGGCUCAUCCCCACUCAAGAUCAUAUUGAAAAUUUCAGCUGGGAGAUUCUCUCAACCUGUGACCAACACCUGAGUUAGCUGGCCAACUUCCAUGAUGUCCCUUGUGAGGUGAGAAUAGGAAUGGCUCUGUACCCAUUGGGGUCUGGGAGUGCAUGCAAAGUACAUCCUGAUGCUGCUGCUUCUCCUAUAUUCCCCACCUCUCACUAAAUCAGCUCCAGAGCCUGGAAGGGUUAACACCUUCACCUGUGGCCUAGAUCGCCCAGCUCCCUGUGGGAGUGUGUGUCACAGCAUCAUCUCUCUCCCUCUCAUGACCUGGAGACUCACACUUUUCUGUGUGGCCCACAGUGUAGGCUACAGCCCAUUGCUUCUUUCAAAAGGCCUGUGGUUUAUUUGACUUUUUCUGUUAAGUUCCUGUGUUGCUUCAUGGAAAACCGAGUUCACAGAAUAAAUCUUAACACACUAUUUUUGCCUUUCCAAGUGGGAGAGGCAGGCAAACAUUGACUCUAAUCUACCAUCUUGCGGGGGUUGGGGGUGGGGAACAGUUUUAUCUUUAAAGUGACCAAUAAUGUCUCUCCAGGAUAGAAUAAAGCAAUCUUUCAUAUAAGUAGCAGAUUAAGAAAAUGGCAACAAGGAAUCUCACCAGAUCUUCACAAUUAGGUUAAUUUUGUUAUUGCUUUAAAUCUCCUUAAUAAAAGUAACUACUUAGACAAUUUUUUUGUAGUUAACAACACACUUGCACAAUAUUCAGGGCAAUCAAUAUAUAUGCAAAUUUAACUACUAAUAUAUUCACUUCAAUCAGUAAAGUAUGCAGAAACAUAAUAGUUGAAGUAUUCAGCUUAGGUAGUAAACAGUAUGCAGCUGGCUCUAUAAAAAUAAAAUAUGACUAUGACAUAAAGAAAAUUUACAAAACGUUUAAAUCUCAAGACUGCUGUCCAAGUUUUC
Molecule: long non-coding RNA, 3406 nt
Organism: Pan troglodytes (chimpanzee)
Lineage: Eukaryota; Metazoa; Chordata; Mammalia; Primates; Hominidae
Exons: 5
Source: RefSeq, a predicted model, not a curated record